GACACUGCUGGGUACGAAGGACG
Molecule: non-coding RNA, 23 nt
Filed under: Cricetulus griseus (Chinese hamster)
Lineage: Eukaryota; Metazoa; Chordata; Mammalia; Rodentia; Cricetidae
Source: RNAcentral